This is a long non-coding RNA of Xyrauchen texanus (razorback sucker), 509 nucleotides long. RefSeq lists it as uncharacterized. The transcript is spliced from 3 exons. Lineage: Eukaryota; Metazoa; Chordata; Actinopteri; Cypriniformes; Catostomidae. The record is from RefSeq and is a predicted model, not a curated record.
AGAUGAUCAGUUGUCUCUGUCAAUUUGACAAAAAGUACAGGCAUUUUCUUCAAAAUUAAACCGUUGUCUUAAAAAUUCACUUGACGGGUAUACCCCAUUGAAUAUUUUAAAAUGAGUUUCCUUAAACAAUCAACUUUAUAUACCUGAGAUCCACCUGCAUGCGCUCAGCCAUGAUGUUUGAUCCGUGUCUCAAGCUAAUGACGUAACUUCCAGGGAGGCAUCACCGAGCCCGUUGUACACGCCCCAAUCCCCUGACUCCACCCCCACGUCAAAACAGUGCCAUAAAGUGAAACGAAGAGAAAAGUGAAGCGCAAAGGCAAAACGCCCCAGAAAUAGCUAUAGUUUACACAAUAUGUAACGUCACAUCAAAACAAGUCAAGAGUAAUCGAGCACACGCUUCAAUCUACAAUAAGCCAAUGACGACUGAAAAAGUUUGUGGCCACCCCGGAGUGUUCCAAAGAUGGCCGCCGAGUGGACAGACUUGCCUGUAGAGCUACUUUGAUAAAGGU